Molecule: ribosomal RNA, 253 nt
Filed under: uncultured bacterium
Lineage: Bacteria
Description: partial 16S ribosomal RNA
Rfam family: Bacterial small subunit ribosomal RNA
Source: RNAcentral
UACAGAGGUCUCAAGCGUUGUUCGGAUUCAUUGGGCGUAAAGGGUGCGUAGGCGGCGCGGUAAGUCGGGUGUGAAAUCUCGGGGCUUAACUCCGAAACUGCAUUCGAUACUGCGGUGCUUGAGGACUGGAGAGGAGACUGGAAUUCAUGGUGUAGCAGUGAAAUGCGUAGAGAUCAUGAGGAAGACCAGUGGCGAAGGCGGGUCUCUGGGCCACUACUGACGCUGAGAAGCGAAAGCAUGGGGAGCGAACAGG